RNAcentral lists this ribosomal RNA (551 nucleotides) under uncultured bacterium. RNAcentral's name for it is "bacterial SSU rRNA". It matches the Rfam family "Bacterial small subunit ribosomal RNA", at positions 353 to 896 of the family's 1533-position model. The record is from RNAcentral.
AGUGGGGAAUAUUGCACAAUGGGGGAAACCCUGAUGCAGCCAUGCCGCGUGUGUGAAGAAGGCCUUCGGGUUGUAAAGCACUUUCAGUGGUGAGGAAGGAUGUAAGAUUAAUACUCUUGCAUAUUGACGUUAGCCACAGAAGAAGCACCGGCUAACUCCGUGCCAGCAGCCGCGGUAAUACGGAGGGUGCAAGCGUUAAUCGGAAUUACUGGGCGUAAAGCGCGCGUAGGCGGCGUGAUAAGCCGGUUGUGAAAGCCCCGGGCUCAACCUGGGAACGGCAUCCGGAACUGUCAGGCUAGAGUGCAGGAGAGGAAGGUAGAAUUCCCGGUGUAGCGGUGAAAUGCGUAGAGAUCGGGAGGAGUACCAGUGGCGAAGGCGGCCUUCUGGACUGACACUGACGCUGAGGUGCGAAAGCGUGGGUAGCAAACAGGAUUAGAUACCCUGGUAGUCCACGCCGUAAACGAUGUCGACUAGCCGUUGGGGUCCUUGUGACCUUUGUGGCGCAGUUAACGCGAUAAGUCGACCGCCUGGGGAGUACGGCCGCAAGGUUA